CAGAAUAAAUAAACCAAUUUAUUAACUACAAAGAUAGAUUUUAAGUGAUAUUAAGUGAUAGGCAAAAAGUCAGAGUGGUUACCAAAAUAAAAUAAAAUAUAAGCACACAGUCUAAACUCUCAACCCUAUUAGACUGGGCGGCAACUAGAUUAAGCACCCACACACACACACACACACACUAGAUAUUGCAGUCCUUAAUAUACAGAUUUGUUCCUUAAACCUGGGCCAGUCUCCUCUGUUGGAGUCUUCUUCUCAGUGUCUUGGUUGCUUGCAGCAAAGGUAGGAGCAGGAGAAGGGCCCAGUAUGUGUCUAUUCUGUCUGUUUUAUACCCUCAGUUCACAUUCUUGGGGAGCACAAGUCCAGGCAUGCCAAGGGGGCAUUGCUGAAUCUCUCCAAGCAUGGUUGAGCAGUUCCCCUGGUGAGGCCUUAUGCAGAAAACCACGGAUUCUUGCUCACUACCAACACUGUGCGUAUGGUGAUACAAAGUAAGGAGACAAUAGGCUCAUCCACUCUGUGAAUAGAAACAGUACCAUGUGUCCUGGGAGUCCAAACAAAGCUAACCAAUGCAGCUGGAAGGAGGAAGAUGAUUUAAGAGGAAGACUUGUUUGAUGGGUAAGGCUCUGGACUGGCCUUGAAGAGACUAGUAUAUAAUGCCUGGCUCGGCCACUGACUUUUGUUCAACAUCUUUGUUGACCUUUGUUCCACAUCUUCAUUAAUGAUCUGGAUGAUGGGAUGGAUUGCACCCUCAGCAAGUUUGUGGAUGACACUAAACUUAGGGGAGAGGUAGAUAUGCUGGAGGGUAGGGAUAGGGUCCAGAGUGACCCAGACAAGUUGAAGGAUUGGGCUAAAAGAAAUCUGAUGAGGUUCAACAAGGACAAGUACCAAGUCCUGCACUUAUGACGAAAGAAUCCCAUGCACUGCUACAGGCUGGGGCUAAGCAGCAGUUCUGCAGAAAAGGACCUGGGGAUUACAGUGGAUGAGAAGCUGGGUAUGCGUCAACAGUGUGCCCUUGUUGCCAAGAAGGUUAACGGCACAUUGGGCUGCAUUAGUAGUAGCAUUGCCAGUAGAUUGAGGGAAGUGAUUAUUUGGUAUUGGUGAGGCCACAUCUGGAGUACUGUGUCCAGUUUUGGGCCUCCCACUACAGAAAGGAUGUGGACAAAUUGGAGACAGUCCAGCAGAGGGCAACAAAAAUUAUUAGGGGGCUGGGGCACAUGACUUCCGAGGACAUGCUGAGGGAACUGGGCUUGUUUAGUCUGCAGAAGAGAAGAGUGAGGCGGGAUUUGAUAGCAGCCUUCAACUACCUGAGGGUGGGUUCCAAAGAGGAUGGAGCUAGGCUGUUCUCAGUGUUGGCAGAUGACAGAACAAGGAGUAAUGGUCUCAAGUUGCAGUGGGGGAGGUCUAGGCUGGAUAUUAGGAAACACUAUUUCACUACGAGGGUGGUGAAGCACUGGAAUGGGUUACCUAGGGAGGUGGUGGAAUCUCCAUCCUUAGAGGUUUUUAAGGCCCGGCUUGACAAAGCCCUGGCUGGGAUGAUUUAGUUGGGGCUGGUCCUGCUUAGAGCAUGGGGUUGGACUAGAUGACCUCCUGAGGUCCCUUCCAACCCUGAUAUUCCAUGAUUCUCUGUGAACUUGGGCAAGUUGCUUAACCACUUCAUUGUAAAAUGUGGAUAGUAAUCUUUCCCUAACUCACAGGGAAGUUGUGAGGAUAGAUUCACUGUGGGUUGGGAGACCAUAUAAAUAGAAGAUUAGCUUGAAUAUUGAAUACCAGCAAUGAACUGCUCACAAAUGAUCUACAGACCAAGAAUUAUUGGGCAAAUUCCUUUCUCUACAUAAUUCUGAAUAAUGAAUAAAUUUGAGGAAGUUGCUAGCUGCCUCUCGGAACUUAAUGAAUAAGAAAAGAGGCAAAAUUCCUUGAGUAACAUCUACAUAUUUGCUAGUGGUAAAUUCUCGCCUCAGAUCUGCAUGACAGCUUACGGGUUUGAUCCUGUUACUC
Molecule: long non-coding RNA, 1992 nt
Organism: Gopherus flavomarginatus (Mexican gopher tortoise)
Lineage: Eukaryota; Metazoa; Chordata; Testudines; Testudinidae
Exons: 3
Source: RefSeq, a predicted model, not a curated record